Molecule: ribosomal RNA, 497 nt
Filed under: uncultured bacterium
Lineage: Bacteria
Description: partial 16S ribosomal RNA
Rfam family: Bacterial small subunit ribosomal RNA
Source: RNAcentral
GAUGAACGCUGGCGGCGUGCCUAAUACAUGCAAGUCGAGCGAACAGACGAGGAGCUUGCUCCUCUGACGUUAGCGGCGGACGGGUGAGUAACACGUGGAUAACCUACCUAUAAGACUGGGAUAACCUCGGGAAACCGGAGCUAACACCGGAUAAUAUAUUGAACCGCAUGGUUCAAUAGUGAAAGACGGUUUUGCUGUCACGUAUAGAUGGAUCCGCGCCGCAUUAGCUAGUUGGUAAGGUAAAGGCCUACCAAGGCAACGAUGCGUAGCCGAGCUGAGAGAGUGAUAGGCCACCCGGGAACUGGGACACGGUCCAGGCUCCUACGGGAGGCAGCAGUAGGGAAUCUUCCGCAAUGGGCGAGAGCUUGACGGAGCAGCGCCGCGUGAGUGAUGAAGGUCUUCGGAUCGUAAAACUCUGUUAUUAGGGAAGAACAACUGUGUAAGUAACUAUGCACGUCUUGACGGUACCUAGUCAGAAAGCCACGGCUAACUACGUG